Molecule: ribosomal RNA, 501 nt
Filed under: uncultured bacterium
Lineage: Bacteria
Description: partial 16S ribosomal RNA
Rfam family: Bacterial small subunit ribosomal RNA
Source: RNAcentral
AUUGAACGCUGGCGGCAGGCUUAACACAUGCAAGUCGAGCGGAGCGAGGGUGCUUGCACCUUAGCUUAGCGGCGGACGGGUGAGCAAUGCUUAGGAAUCUGCCUAUUAGAGGGGGACAACAUUCCGAAAGGAAUGCUAAUACCGCAUACGCCCUACGGGGGAAAGCGGGGGAUCUUCGGACCUUGCGCUAAUAGAUGAGCCUAAGUCGGAAUAGCUAGUUGGUGGGGUAAAGGCCUACCAAGGCGACGAUCUGUAGCGGGUCUGAGAGGAUGAUCCGCCACACUGGGACUGAGACACGGCCCAGACUCCUACGGGAGGCAGCAGUGGGGAAUAUUGGACAAUGGGCGGAGGCCUGAUCCAGCCAUGCCGGGUGUGUGAAGAAGGCCUUUUGGUUGUAAAGCACUUUAAGCGAGGAGGAGGCUACUUAGAUUAAUACUCUGGGAUAGUGGACGUUACUCGCAGAAUAAGCACCGGCUAACUCUGUGCCAGCCGCCGCGGUAA